UCAGCUGCGAGAUGUCCUU
Molecule: unclassified non-coding RNA, 19 nt
Filed under: Chlamydomonas reinhardtii
Lineage: Eukaryota; Viridiplantae; Chlorophyta; Chlorophyceae; Chlamydomonadales; Chlamydomonadaceae
Description: small RNA Cre_2498
Source: RNAcentral